UCCAAGUGGCAGUUCCGAUUGGUUGGCGUU
RNAcentral lists this non-coding RNA (30 nucleotides) under Mus musculus (house mouse). The record is from RNAcentral. Lineage: Eukaryota; Metazoa; Chordata; Mammalia; Rodentia; Muridae.